Molecule: ribosomal RNA, 433 nt
Filed under: uncultured bacterium
Lineage: Bacteria
Description: partial 16S ribosomal RNA
Rfam family: Bacterial small subunit ribosomal RNA
Source: RNAcentral
AACGAACGCUGGCGGCAUGCCUAACACAUGCAAGUCGAACGAGACCUUCGGGUCUAGUGGCGCACGGGUGCGUAACGCGUGGGAACCUGCCCUUAGGUUCGGAAUAACUCCCCGAAAGGGGUGCUAAUACCGGAUAAUGUCUUCGGACCAAAGAUUUAUCGCCUUUGGAUGGGCCCGCGUUGGAUUAGCUAGUUGGUAGGGUAAAAGCCUACCAAGGCGACGAUCAAUAGCUGGUCUGAGAGGAUGAUCAGCCACACUGGGACUGAGACACGGCCCAGACUCCUACGGGAGGCAGCAGUGGGGAAUAUUGGACAAUGGGCGAAAGCCUGACCCAGCAAUGCCGCGUGAGUGAUGAAGGUCUUAGGGUUGUAAAGCUCUUUUACCCGGGAUGAUAAUGACAGUACCGGGAGAAUAAGCUCCGGCUAACUCCGUG